GGGCUCGUAGCGUAGUCAGGACAACGCGCCGGCCUUCGGAGCCGGAGAACAGGGGUUCAAAUCCCCUCGAGCCCGCCA
Molecule: transfer RNA, 78 nt
Filed under: Candidatus Bathyarchaeota archaeon
Lineage: Archaea; Thermoproteati; Candidatus Bathyarchaeota
Description: tRNA-Arg
Rfam family: tRNA
About the family: Transfer RNA (tRNA) molecules are approximately 80 nucleotides in length. Their secondary structure includes four short double-helical elements and three loops (D, anti-codon, and T loops).
Source: RNAcentral